This 156-nucleotide ribosomal RNA is filed under the name uncultured Pseudomonas sp. RNAcentral's name for it is "partial 16S ribosomal RNA". It matches the Rfam family "Bacterial small subunit ribosomal RNA", at positions 379 to 527 of the family's 1533-position model. Lineage: Bacteria; Pseudomonadati; Pseudomonadota; Gammaproteobacteria; Pseudomonadales; Pseudomonadaceae. The record is from RNAcentral.
AAGCCUGAUCCAGCCAUGCCGCGUGUGUGAAGAAGGUCUUCGGAUUGUAAAGCACUUUAAGUUGGGAGGAAGGGCAGUAAGUUAAUACCUUGCUGUUUUGACGUUACCAACACAAUAAGCACCGGCUAACUUCGUGCCAGCAGCCGCGGUAAUACA